Molecule: transfer RNA, 56 nt
Filed under: Colura tortifolia
Lineage: Eukaryota; Viridiplantae; Streptophyta; Jungermanniopsida; Porellales; Lejeuneaceae
Description: partial tRNA-Phe
Rfam family: tRNA
About the family: Transfer RNA (tRNA) molecules are approximately 80 nucleotides in length. Their secondary structure includes four short double-helical elements and three loops (D, anti-codon, and T loops).
Source: RNAcentral
GCCGGAAUAGCUCAGUUGGUAGAGCAGGGGACUGAAAAUCCUCGUGUCACCAGUUC